This 253-nucleotide ribosomal RNA is filed under the name uncultured bacterium. RNAcentral describes it as "partial 16S ribosomal RNA". It matches the Rfam family "Bacterial small subunit ribosomal RNA", at positions 524 to 776 of the family's 1533-position model. The record is from RNAcentral.
GACAGAGGGUGCAAACGUUGUUCGGAAUUACUGGGCGUAAAGCGCGUGUAGGCGGCUCGGCAAGUCGGGUGUGAAAGCCCUGGGCUUAACCUAGGAAGUGCACUCGAAACUGCCAAGCUUGAGUUCUGGAGAGGAAGGCGGAAUUCUCGGUGUAGAGGUGAAAUUCGUAGAUAUCGAGAGGAACACCGGUGGCGAAGGCGGCCUUCUGGACAGCAACUGGCGCUGAGACGCGAAAGCGUGGGGAGCAAACAGG